This 454-nucleotide ribosomal RNA is filed under the name uncultured bacterium. Its description in RNAcentral is "bacterial SSU rRNA". It matches the Rfam family "Bacterial small subunit ribosomal RNA", at positions 10 to 507 of the family's 1533-position model. The record is from RNAcentral.
AGUUUGAUCCUGGCUACAGAACGAACGCUGGCGGCAGGCCUAAAACAUGCAAGUUGAACGCUGUAGCAAUACAGAGUAGCGCACGAGUGAGUAACACGUGGGAAUAUGCCUUUUGGUACGGAACAACGUUUGGAAACGAACGCUGAUACCGUAUGGUCCCUCCGGGGGUAAAGAUUUAUCGCCAAAAGAGUAGCCCGCGUCUGAUUAGCUAGUUGGUGAGGUAACGGCUCUACCAAGGCGACGAUCAGUAGCUGGUCUGAGAGGACGAUCAGCCACGCUGGGACUGAGACACGGCCCAGACUCCUACGGGAGGCAGCAGUUAGGAAUCUUGGACAAUGGGCGCAAGCCUGAUCCAGCCAUGCCGCGUGAGUGAUGAAGGCCUUCGGGUUGUAAAGCUCUUUAGCCGAUGAAUAUAAUGACUGUAGUCGGAAAAUAAGCCCCGGCUAACUUCGUG